UUCGGCCACAUCACGCUGAAACACCUGUUCCCGUACGAUCACUGAAGUUAAGCAACGUUGAGCGUGGUUAGUACAUUGAUGGGUGACCGCUCGAGAAUAACAGAUGCUAUA
Acanthosepion pharaonis is the source of this 111-nucleotide non-coding RNA. NCBI's taxonomy places the organism in Eukaryota, Metazoa, Mollusca, Cephalopoda, Sepiida, Sepiidae. The record is from the annotation of a GenBank genome assembly.